This 253-nucleotide ribosomal RNA is filed under the name uncultured bacterium. RNAcentral describes it as "partial 16S ribosomal RNA". It matches the Rfam family "Bacterial small subunit ribosomal RNA", at positions 524 to 776 of the family's 1533-position model. The record is from RNAcentral.
UACGGGGGGGGCAAGCGUUGUUCGGAAUUACUGGGCGUAAAGGGCGCGUAGGCGGCCUACUAAGUCGGACGUGAAAUCCCUCGGCUCAACCGAGGAACUGCGUCCGAUACUGGCAGGCUGGAAUCCGGGAGAGGGAUGUGGAAUUCCAGGUGUAGCGGUGAAAUGCGUAGAUAUCUGGAGGAACACCGGUGGCGAAGGCGGCAUCCUGGACCGGUAUUGACGCUGAGGCGCGAAAGCCAGGGGAGCAAACGGG